GAGAAACCAUAAUGCAAGUUCUAAGAGGCCAUAUUUCUGCAUCAUCUGAGAUAUAAGUACUAUGCUCAUAAGAUGUCAAGUGCUCUUCAUCCAAGCAUGAGAAGAGCAUGAUGGACAUCUCCUCAUCUGAGCAUAAGAAGAGUGCAUGACUAUCCUCCCCUCAUUCGAGCAUGAGGGGCAAGAUGAGCACCUCUCUUCAUCCAAACGUGUGGAGAGUAUAAUGAGCCUCUCCUCUUCCGAGCA
This 243-nucleotide long non-coding RNA is filed under the name Elaeis guineensis (African oil palm). RNAcentral describes it as "long non-coding RNA (EGUI_LNC035166)". The record is from RNAcentral. Lineage: Eukaryota; Viridiplantae; Streptophyta; Magnoliopsida; Arecales; Arecaceae.